RNAcentral lists this long non-coding RNA (1343 nucleotides) under Olea europaea (common olive). Its description in RNAcentral is "long non-coding RNA (OEUR_LNC000322)". Lineage: Eukaryota; Viridiplantae; Streptophyta; Magnoliopsida; Lamiales; Oleaceae. The record is from RNAcentral.
UCAAUCUUUAUUAAGAUCUUCAAUCUUAUGUAACAUGUGCAAAUAUGUUCAUUACCUUUAUUGGAGUACUCAAAUACUUCUAGGUUAAAAAAUUACUCCAUUUACUUCCAAAUUUAACUUAUCAUAUAAUUAGAAUUAAAGUGUAAAAUACUGACGGCACACACACACACAAUGAAGGCAAAUAUUCCCCAUUCGAAUUCAAGAAUUAACAAUGGUGGCAGUAGGUCAUGUAUUCGAUAUCAGACCCAAAUCCAAGUUUGGCAAUAGAGGAUCGACGUUGCUACAUUGACGGUCAUCAUUGUGACUGAUCGUUGCCACUACCAUACCUGCCACCACAUGAACAUGUAAUCUAAUUGCUUGAUUUGAUUUUCUCAUAUGAAUUCUGUGUUUUGCGUUUGGAUAUGGUGGUGAUCAUGGCACAAUAAUAGUGCCGAUGAUAAUGAUUGUGACGAAUGUUACAAGUCUACAAGUGGAGGUGGUGAUUUAACACUUUAUAGUUGGCGAUUUAUCGUGGAGGCGGAUGAGAUGAAUGAUGGUGUGGAUGCUCAGUUUCGAGUGUGGUGAUGGUCAGUUAGACGUGUUAAGAUUUUAUAAGUGGUGGUUUUUAUUAGCUAAGAAAAGUAGAAUUGGUUGCUUUCCCACUUAGUGACUCUAAUUUGAAAUAGAAAAAAAAACAAAAAAAACAAAAACAAACAAACAAACAAGCAAAAACUAAAACAAAACCAAAACCAAAACCAAAACCCAAAAUUAAAAAGGUACAAACAUCUUAUAAUUUUUGUUUCAAGAGAAGAAAAUAUUAUAACUUCUUGACACAUUAUCCAUAUUUCAUACUGGACUUUGAGAUUUUUAUUUUUAUUUUUAGUUUUUUCCAAUUUCACCCUUUUCUUCAAGUCAUUGAUCUAAUAAAGUUUCGCCGCUCUGAGAGUUAAACAACAUAUUAAAAAUUACUCAGAAUUAAUUCGAAAAAUCCACGAAAAUCAAUUUAAAAAUAUAGCUUUCUAAACCAAAUAAUUAAAUAAUAUUCUCAGCCAUCCAAAGCAACCCCGCAAAAAUAAAUUUGACUGCGGUGAAGCCAAAAAUAGGAUAGUUGAGAUUAUUAGUCUCUUUUGCUUCAUGGUUACGAAUUGUUUGGGCACAUAUAAGUCCCAUCAACAAGACAGUGAAGCUUUAAAUCCUUUGCACAAACAAAAUUAAAAUAAGAAAAGUAACAACCUUAAGAAAUUAGAAGAUUCCAUCACACACACUGUGCACGUAAAUCUACUUCUGAUUUACCAUAGUUCGACGUAUCAGAAGAGUCUCGCAUGUUUCAAAACAUUAAGAUAUGGGAAGAAAUCUGAAUUCAC